Onthophagus taurus is the source of this 136-nucleotide small nucleolar RNA. RefSeq annotates it as small nucleolar RNA psi18S-1377. The record is from RefSeq and is a predicted model, not a curated record. Lineage: Eukaryota; Metazoa; Arthropoda; Insecta; Coleoptera; Scarabaeidae.
UCGUCUCUGUGUUACUUGAAGUUAAUUUUUAAUUUAACUUUGAGCGUCAAACGGGACGGAUAUUAAAAAAAUCUUGUUUUCCACAAGGUGUAUUUCUUUUUAUAUAAAUUCAUCUUACUAAAAACAAGAAACAAUC